GAUUCUGGUUUCAGGACACUCAUGAGC
RNAcentral lists this non-coding RNA (27 nucleotides) under Rattus norvegicus (Norway rat). The record is from RNAcentral. Lineage: Eukaryota; Metazoa; Chordata; Mammalia; Rodentia; Muridae.